GACAGAGGUGCCAAGCGUUAGGCGGAAUCACUGGGCUUAAAGCGUGUGUAGGCGGAUGCCUAAGUAUCUUGUGAAAUCCCACGGCUCAACCGUGGAACUGCUUGAUAUACUGGGUGUCUUGAGCCAUCUAGGGGCUACCGGAACAAAUGGUGGAGCGGUGAAAUGCGUAGAUAUCAGGAGGAACACCUGUGGUGUAGACAGCUUACUGGACCACGACUGACGCUGAGACACGAAAGCGUGGGUAGCAAACAGG
RNAcentral lists this ribosomal RNA (253 nucleotides) under uncultured bacterium. RNAcentral's name for it is "partial 16S ribosomal RNA". It matches the Rfam family "Bacterial small subunit ribosomal RNA", at positions 524 to 776 of the family's 1533-position model. The record is from RNAcentral.